CAAUAGCGUAUAUUAAAGUUGUUGCAGUUAAAAAGCUCGUAGUUGGAUUUCUGGUCGGAAGCUCCUGUCCUCUGAUGAGCGUACAAGUGCGUCCUACCAUCCUUCUGUUAACCUUUAAGGCUUUCGCGGCUUUCUAGGGGCUCAGAUAUUUUACCUUGAGAAAAUUAGAGUGUUUCAGGCAGGCUAGCGCCGGAAUACAUUAGCAUGGAAUAAUGGAAUAGGACUUUUGCCUCUUCUGUUGGUCAUGAGGCUCGAGUAAUGAUUAAUAGGGAUAGUUGGGGGCAUUAGUACUUAACUGUCAGAGGUGAAAUUCUCGGAUUUGUUAAAGACUAACUUAUGCGAAAGCAUUUGCCAAGGAUGUUUUCAUUAAC
Molecule: ribosomal RNA, 371 nt
Filed under: uncultured eukaryote
Lineage: Eukaryota
Description: partial 18S ribosomal RNA
Rfam family: Eukaryotic small subunit ribosomal RNA
Source: RNAcentral